This 492-nucleotide ribosomal RNA is filed under the name uncultured bacterium. RNAcentral describes it as "partial 16S ribosomal RNA". It matches the Rfam family "Bacterial small subunit ribosomal RNA", at positions 29 to 507 of the family's 1533-position model. The record is from RNAcentral.
AGUGAACGCUGGCGGUAGGCCUAACACAUGCAAGUCGAACGGCAGCACAGUAAGAGCUUGCUCUUACGGGUGGCGAGUGGCGGACGGGUGAGGAAUACAUCGGAAUCUACUUUUUCGUGGGGGAUAACGUAGGGAAACUUACGCUAAUACCUCAUACGACCUACGGGUGAAAGCAGGGGAUCUUCGGACCUUGCGCGAUUGAAUGAGCCGAUGUCGGAUUAGCUAGUUGGCGGGGUAAAGGCCCACCAAGGCGACGAUCCGUAGCCGGUCUGAGAGGAUGAUCAGCCACACUGGAACUGAGACACGGUCCAGACUCCUACGGGAGGCAGCAGUGGGGAAUAUUGGACAAUGGGCGCAAGCCUGAUCCAGCCAUACCGCGUGGGUGAAGAAGGCCUUCGGGUUGUAAAGCCCUUUUGUUGGGAAAGAAAAGCAGCAGGUUAAUACCCCGCUGUUCUGACGGUACCCAAAGAAUAAGCACCGGCUAACUUCGUG